Molecule: ribosomal RNA, 253 nt
Filed under: uncultured bacterium
Lineage: Bacteria
Description: partial 16S ribosomal RNA
Rfam family: Bacterial small subunit ribosomal RNA
Source: RNAcentral
UACGGAGGGUGCGAGCGUUGUUCGGAAUUACUGGGCGUAAAGCGCGUGUAGGCGGAUUCAGAAGUCGGGUGUGAAAGCCCUGGGCUUAACCCAGGAAGUGCGCCCGAAACCAUGAGUCUUGAGGUCCGGAGGGGAUCGGGGAAUUCCCAGUGUAGAGGUGAAAUUCGUAGAUAUUGGGAGGAACACCGGUGGCGAAGGCGCCGAUCUGGACGGAUUCUGACGCUGAGACGCGAAAGCGUGGGUAGCAAACAGG